GAUCAUGGCUCAGGAUGAACGCUGGCGGCGUGCUUAACACAUGCAAGUCGAGCGAAGCACUUUGCUUUGAUUUCUUCGGGAUGAAGAGCUUGGUGACUGAGCGGCGACGGGUGAGGUAACCGCGUGGGUAACCUGCCUCAUACAGGGGGAUAACAGUUAGAAAUGACUGCUAAUACCGCAUAAGACCACAGCACCGCAUGGUGCAGGGGUAAAAACUCCGGU
RNAcentral lists this ribosomal RNA (222 nucleotides) under uncultured bacterium. RNAcentral describes it as "partial 16S ribosomal RNA". It matches the Rfam family "Bacterial small subunit ribosomal RNA", at positions 15 to 216 of the family's 1533-position model. The record is from RNAcentral.